UACGUAGGGGGCAAGCGUUGUCCGGAAUCAUUGGGCGUAAAGCGCGCGCAGGCGGUUUCUUAAGUCUGAUGUGAAAGCCCACGGCUCAACCGUGGAGGGUCAUUGGAAACUGGGGAACUUGAGUGCAGAAGAGAAAAGCGGAAUUCCACGUGUAGCGGUGAAAUGCGUAGAGAUGUGGAGGAACACCAGUGGCGAAGGCGGCUUUUUGGUCUGUAACUGACGCUGAGGCGCGAAAGCGUGGGAGCAACAGG
This 251-nucleotide ribosomal RNA is filed under the name uncultured bacterium. RNAcentral's name for it is "partial 16S ribosomal RNA". It matches the Rfam family "Bacterial small subunit ribosomal RNA", at positions 524 to 776 of the family's 1533-position model. The record is from RNAcentral.